GACGAACGCUGGCGGCGUGCUUAACACAUGCAAGUCGAGCGGUAAGGCCCUUUCGGGGGUACACGAGCGGCGAACGGGUGAGUAACACGUGGGUGACCUGCCCUUAGCUCUGGGAUAAGCCUGGGAAACUGGGUCUAAUACCGGAUAUGACUCCAUGACGCAUGUUGUGGGGUGGAAAGCCUUGUGCGGCUAGGGAUGGGCCUGCGGCCUAUCAGCUUGUUGGUGGGGUGAUGGCCUACCAAGGCGACGACGGGUAGCCGGCCUGAGAGGGCGACCGGCCACACUGGGACUGAGACACGGCCCAGACUCCUACGGGAGGCAGCAGUGGGGAAUCCUGCGCAAUGGGCGAAAGCCUGACGCAGCGACGCCGCGUGGGGAUGACGGCCU
RNAcentral lists this ribosomal RNA (387 nucleotides) under uncultured bacterium. RNAcentral describes it as "bacterial SSU rRNA". It matches the Rfam family "Bacterial small subunit ribosomal RNA", at positions 28 to 417 of the family's 1533-position model. The record is from RNAcentral.